This 200-nucleotide long non-coding RNA is filed under the name Ananas comosus (pineapple). RNAcentral's name for it is "long non-coding RNA (ACOM_LNC009913)". The record is from RNAcentral. Lineage: Eukaryota; Viridiplantae; Streptophyta; Magnoliopsida; Poales; Bromeliaceae.
ACGAAGUGCGGGUGCAGCCAGCGCUGCUGGCAGCAGGCGUUGUCAAAGAUGUUGGCAGCAGAUGCAUCAUUCGCCGGCAACAGGUGGUGUUGAUGACGCUGGCGGCGGAUGGCGGUGACGUUCUAGCAGCAGGGUACGUCCAAGGUGCUGUCAGCAGAUGGGUGGACUUCAGGUUGGAGAAGAAAUUGCAAAGAAAAGAU